AUUUGGGGUAUUGACUCCCUCAGUGACGCAGCUAACGCAUUAAGUAUUCCGCCUGGGGAGUACGGUCGCAAGACUAAAACUCAAACAAAUUGACGGGGGCCCGCACAAGCGGUGGAUUAUGUGGUUUAAUUCGAAGCAACGCACAGAACCUUACCUAGGCUUGAACUCCUCAGAAUCCGGCGUAAUGGCUGGGGUGUCCGCAAGGAAAUUGAGUGAGAGGUGCUGCAUGGCUGUCGUCAGCUCGUGUUGUGAAAUGUUGGGUUAAGUCUCGCAACGAGCGCAACCCCUAUCGUCUGUUGCCAGAGUUAAGUUGGGCACUCUGACGAGACUGCCUGGGUUAACCAGGAGGAAGGUGGGGAUGACGUCAAGUCCUCAUGGCCCUUACGCG
Molecule: ribosomal RNA, 388 nt
Filed under: uncultured delta proteobacterium
Lineage: Bacteria; Deltaproteobacteria
Description: bacterial SSU rRNA
Rfam family: Bacterial small subunit ribosomal RNA
Source: RNAcentral